CCUACGGGUGGCUGCAGUGGGGAAUAUUGGACAAUGGGGGGAACCCUGAUCCAGCCAUGCCGCGUGUGUGAAGAAGGCCCUCGGGUUGUAAAGCACUUUCAGUGAGGAAGAACGCCUGGUGGUUAAUACCCAUCAGGAAAGACAUCACUCACAGAAGAAGCACCGGCUAACUCCGUGCCAGCAGCCGCGGUAAUACGGAGGGUGCGAGCGUUAAUCGGAAUUACUGGGCGUAAAGCGCGCGUAGGUGGCUUGAUAAGCCGGUUGUGAAAGCCCCGGGCUCAACCUGGGAAUGGCAUCCGGAACUGUCAAGCUAGAGUGCAGGAGAGGAAGGUAGAAUUCCCGGUGUAGCGGUGAAAUGCGUAGAGAUCGGGAGGAAUACCAGUGGCGAAGGCGGCCUUCUGGACUGACACUGACACUGAGGUGCGAAAGCGUGGGUAGCAAACAGGAUUAGAUACCCGAGUAGUC
This 465-nucleotide ribosomal RNA is filed under the name Vreelandella stevensii. RNAcentral describes it as "partial 16S ribosomal RNA". It matches the Rfam family "Bacterial small subunit ribosomal RNA", at positions 338 to 795 of the family's 1533-position model. The record is from RNAcentral. Lineage: Bacteria; Pseudomonadati; Pseudomonadota; Gammaproteobacteria; Oceanospirillales; Halomonadaceae.